Molecule: ribosomal RNA, 253 nt
Filed under: uncultured bacterium
Lineage: Bacteria
Description: partial 16S ribosomal RNA
Rfam family: Bacterial small subunit ribosomal RNA
Source: RNAcentral
UACGUAGGUGGCAAGCGUUGUCCGGAUUUAUUGGGCGUAAAGCGCGCGCAGGUGGUUCGUUGCGUCCGAGGUGAAAUCUCCCGGCUCAACUGGGAGGGGUCUUCGGAUACGGGCGGACUUGAGGAGAGCAGAGGUAGGCGGAAUGCUGGGUGUAGUGGUGAAAUGCGUAGAUAUCCAGCAGAACACCAGUGGCGAAGGCGGCCUACUGGGCUCCACCUGACACUGAGGCGCGAAAGCGUGGGGAGCGAACCGG